Molecule: ribosomal RNA, 242 nt
Filed under: uncultured bacterium
Lineage: Bacteria
Description: partial 16S ribosomal RNA
Rfam family: Bacterial small subunit ribosomal RNA
Source: RNAcentral
CUCUCCUACGGGACGCAGCAGUGGGGAAUAUUGCGCAAUGGGGGAAACCCUGACGCAGCAACGCCGCGUGCGGGAUGAAGGCCUUCGGGUUGUAAACCGCUUUCAGCAGGGAAGAUCCAAGACGGUACCUGCAGAAGAAGCCCCGGCUAACUACGUGCAAGCAGCCGCGGUAAUACGUAGGGGGCAAGCGUUAUCCGGAUUCAUUGGGCGUAAAGCGCGCGCAGGCGGGUUGUUAAGUGGGA